UCCUUUGACCAGGCGGGGCAGUGUGCACAAGCCGGCCCCGCCCUUCUAUAAACACUGUCCCCUGCCUUUCAAAAGUCCCUUUCUCUGCCUGCUCUUUGACUCUGCUCCCAUCUGCUCACAGGUGUCCACAGAGGCAGAGGUUGGGGGGGGAGGUGCUUGAUCCCAGCCUCCCUGGGCUUGGGCUGCCUGCCUAUCCUCGGGGACCUGGCACUGGGGGUAGACCGCACAGCGGGAGUGCUUACUCCGUGACAUGUGGACUGUGGCGAGCCGGCGGUAGAGGGCCUUCUGCCGGGGGUCUGGGUGGAAGCCACUCUUGGUGAAGUAGACGUGGAUGUAGAUGGAGCCAUUCUGUUGGACACUCUGCAAGGCAAGCCAAUAGGGAAAAAAAGGACAUGCCGAACUCCCUCGUGGCACCUGGCCCAGGAGCUUCACCACCCCCAGGUUCCCAUUACCGAGUGCUUGGGUGGGCAGAGGGGCUGAGGGAUGGAGAGCAGACAGCUCAUAUCAGAGCUGCUCAGAUACGAGUCCCGGCUACAGCACAUCUGGGCUGUGGGACCCCCCAGGCUCCGCCUCGCUGGGCCUCGGGUCUGCCCUCACCAUGCAGAUAACCAGCACUGAACGCACAGCAGUGGAAAGAUUAUCUGAGGGCACCCAGCACUGCCACUUGGGCACACAGGAGGAGCUCAGUAACGCCAGCAGUUCUAACCCAGUCAACAGUAAAACAAUGAGCCCCAGACCCUGCUCCGGGAACCGCAGACGAUGCCGCAGCUGGGCCUCACAUGGAGAGAUUGUGUAACAUGUGGUGAAUAAGUGGAUCUGAACCCAGUCUGUGGGCUCCCGUGCAGUUCUGCCUCGCACCAUCUGUGUCCUCCGCGCUGCCUGUGCCUGUCUGUCACCUCCUGUCUCCCCAGGACGGGAACUACUCUCACUCCCACCUGUUACAGACGAGGAAACCCAAGAGGGCGGCCACUUGCCUGAGGCCCUGGGUUGGGGGGAUGGCCAAUGUGAGGCCUCCGUCUGAGCUCGAGGCACAACAGAUUGCCUCGGUCACACCGUGUCCCCCUCAUUUCCCUGCCUUUUAAACCCACCUUUGCAUUAAUCA
Molecule: long non-coding RNA, 1102 nt
Organism: Canis lupus familiaris (dog)
Lineage: Eukaryota; Metazoa; Chordata; Mammalia; Carnivora; Canidae
Exons: 2
Source: RefSeq, a predicted model, not a curated record